RNAcentral lists this unclassified non-coding RNA (336 nucleotides) under soil metagenome. Its description in RNAcentral is "partial contains 5.8S ribosomal RNA, internal transcribed spacer 2, and large subunit ribosomal RNA". The stretch from base 1 to 120 matches the Rfam family "5.8S ribosomal RNA", at positions 35 to 154 of the family's 154-position model. The record is from RNAcentral.
GAUGAAGAACGUAGCGAAAUGCGAUAAGUAAUGUGAAUUGUAGAAUUCAGUGAAUCAUCGAAUCUUUGAACGCACAUUGCGCCCGCCAGUAUUCUGGCGGGCAUGCCUGUUCGAGCGUCAUUUCAACCAUCAAGCCCCAGGCUUGUGUUGGGGACCUGCGGCUGCCGCAGGCCCUGAAAACCAGUGGCGGGCUCGCUGUCACACCGGGCGUAGUAGAUUUUAUCUCGCUCAGGGCGUGCUGCGGGUCCCGGCCGUUAAAAGCCUUUUUUUACCCAAGGUUGACCUCGGAUCAGGUAGGAAGACCCGCUGAACUUAAGCAUAUCAAUAAGCGGAGGA